GUGGGCAGCUUUGUGACGUCUGCA
Molecule: non-coding RNA, 24 nt
Filed under: Arabidopsis thaliana (thale cress)
Lineage: Eukaryota; Viridiplantae; Streptophyta; Magnoliopsida; Brassicales; Brassicaceae
Source: RNAcentral